RNAcentral lists this ribosomal RNA (253 nucleotides) under uncultured bacterium. RNAcentral describes it as "partial 16S ribosomal RNA". It matches the Rfam family "Bacterial small subunit ribosomal RNA", at positions 524 to 776 of the family's 1533-position model. The record is from RNAcentral.
CACGUAGGGUGCGAGCGUUGUCCGGAAUUAUUGGGCGUAAAGAGCUCGUAGGCGGUUUGUCGCGUCGAAUGUGAAAACCCGGGGCUCAACUCCGGGCCUGCAUUCGAUACGGGCAGACUAGAGUUCGGUAGGGGAGACUGGAAUUCCUGGUGUAGCGGUGAAAUGCGCAGAUAUCAGGAGGAACACCGGUGGCGAAAGCGGCUCUCUGGAACGGUACUGACGCUGAGACGCGAAAGCGUGGGGAGCGAACAGG